UACAGAGGGGGCGAGCGUUGUUCGGAAUUACUGGGCGUAAAGGGUGCGUAGGCGGCUAUCCAAGUCAGACGUGAAAGGCCUGGGCUCAACCCGGGAACUGCGUUUGAGACUGGGUGGCUGGAGUCCGGGAGAGGUGAGCGGAAUUCCCAGUGUAGAGGUGAAAUUCGUAGAUAUUGGGAAGAACACCGGUGGCGAAGGCGGCUCACUGGACCGGUACUGACGCUGAGGCACGAAAGCGUGGGGAGCAAACGGG
RNAcentral lists this ribosomal RNA (253 nucleotides) under uncultured bacterium. RNAcentral's name for it is "partial 16S ribosomal RNA". It matches the Rfam family "Bacterial small subunit ribosomal RNA", at positions 524 to 776 of the family's 1533-position model. The record is from RNAcentral.